Molecule: long non-coding RNA, 12687 nt
Filed under: Lactuca sativa (garden lettuce)
Lineage: Eukaryota; Viridiplantae; Streptophyta; Magnoliopsida; Asterales; Asteraceae
Description: long non-coding RNA (LSAT_LNC000541)
Source: RNAcentral
AAAUUCGUUCCAGACGGCCCCGACAUUCAAGGUAGAUGUGAUUUUUGUUAAAUAUAUUUUUAUUCUCGUGUUUUAUGUAUAAUGACCUACCUUACCCAUCACCCACUUUCUUUAAAUACAUGGAUAAUGACCCAUUUAUUUUAAUAGACGGAUCAUAACUUCAAUCUUUUAAACAAAUGGAUCAUAUAUAUUAUUGAUUUUAUUGACCCAUAAGAUCAGAUUUUGUUGUUAUAAAAAAAUAUAAAAGCUAAAAGUUGUAAUUUUAAUUUAUAAAAUGAAUAGACCCAAACAUUGAUUCAGAAACGGGGACAGUUCUGGUCCCAGGGGUACUUUGGGAAAACUUUCCUAAUUUAAAGUUUUGAGUUAGUUUAGGAUUCCAAUUAGGGUAUGGUUGUGUGACCUUUUUAAUUAAGUUUUUUUUCAGUCUUUUCAGUAAUAAAAUUUGGAGAACAAGUAAUUUUCCCAGAUUUCUUCCUCCCCUGUUUCGCUCAUGCUCUAUUUCUUUUCUGCACACAGCUGAAGUUUCCAUUCUGUCAUAAUCAAGUGAAUUGAUAUGGUGUGGUGGCAUCCAUUUUACCCCACCCUGAGGAGUAUUUAAACUUUUCAUUUUCUAGAAGGUUGUCAGCUAAGAAAAUUCUAGUAGCAAAAACUAUUUGAGAGGCCCUUCCUCUUGAAAGAAUGGGAAAACCCUAAUAAAUCAUUAAUUAUCAGUUACUUGUUUCCAGUUGUGAAUUUCCUGCUUAUUCUCUUUACUCUGUGUGGGGCUUAUUAGCACACUCAAUUGAUCACAUAAACAUUCAUGGACCUAAUAUGACUACUUUGUCCAAAUGGAUUAUUUGUGAAUAAUGACUAACACAUAACUUGUUAUCUGUUUUCAGUAGAAAAGGAAAGGUUUUGGUUGAGAGCUUUAUCCCUAAGGAAGCCUGACAUAAGUGGUCGUGCACAUAAGGUAUACUUUUUGACACCCAAACGUUUUCUCUCUUCGCGUGAACAAAAGGAAUACACAACCGAAUAUUAGGAAUCAAAGUUCUCAAUUUGUUUAGGGUGUAACAAAAUAGGAGGAGUUAUAACCUUUCACUGAAUGCAUUAAAGUGGAAAUAUUAAAAUUUGGAAUCAUAGAAUACUACAAAUAUCUGUUCAUACCAUGUCUAAACACUAUGGGUCAAAAUCUAGGAUUGAAUUCUCACCAUUCCCUGUACUUGUCUCAGUGUAAUAUGCAAGUAGGACCAAUUCAUAGAUUAAUCAUAUUCAGUAGACGUUCUUGGGUAAAUUCUAUGUUAAUAACAAACUAUUGCAUUUUGGAAAACAAGAUGAAAUUGUUUAAGCAUAUUGCUUGAUUUUAAGGAAUCUUAUUGAUAGAUUCAUUCUUAGGAUAGGAAUCAUUAUUCUGUUGAAUCAAGAAAAUGUAACAUAAACUUUAACAAUUUUCUUACUUUCCUUUUUAUGUAGGGUGAGGGGGAAUCUUCAAGGUCUCAUCCUUCAGAUGAAAAGGAUUGAGAAAGAGAGGCUACAUGGCUGGCAUGAAUAGAAAAUAGAUGGGUAGCCUGAUGCUAUUGCAAAUUCAUUAUAUCCUACUUUUCUAGAAGAAUUAAGAUAAUAUAUUCCAGCCUCUACUGCAAAAUUAAACACAUUUGUAUUUGUAUGUUAUUUCCCCAUGAUUCUUUUAAGCAUAGUUAUCAAAAUUAAACACUUCUCGAUUUGUGUGCUAUUUCCUGAUCAUUAUUUGAACUGAAAUCUUAGUCUCAGUUAUUGCCUUAUCAACAAUGUCCAUAUGAAAGAUGAGAAUUCUCGUAUCAUUUGUUUUCUUGUUUUGUUUAUUUAUUUAUUUAUUUAUUUUUUAUUUUAGAAGCAACACUUUUAGGUCGCCCCUUUUUCUACACAUCACGAUACAGAAUAGUAUCACAUAUUAAUUUAUAUAUCUUAUCUUUACUGUCCUCUAUAUCUUUUAUUGUUACUAUUUGUGGUUGCCAAAAGAAUAUCAUAUUCUCAUUUAUUUUCAUUUUCCAGCUCAUCUUGAUAUCAUAUCAAGUUAUCAGUAGUGUUUUUGCAACAAAGUUAGACUCCACAAUCUGGUCAUUUGAGGCUGAAAAUAAAUCAUCAACAUCAACUUAUCUGUGGUCUUUAUGCACCACUCUCAUUUCGUGUCUUUUUCCCAUGUCCUCAUUGUCCUUAACAACUUGAACAUCACAUAACCCCGUGCCUGAUUCCACCUCAUUUGAGCUUAAAAAAAACCUGUUCAUCUCCUUACCAACAUCUUGAUUACCAUUGAAGUCAUUUUAUUGGCCAUAAUUAUCAUUCACACUUGCAUUAGUAACCUUGCUUUCAGUAUCCAGAUUGGAGAUGAUUGGAGAUACAAGGAGUAGAGGCUUUAAUUAACUCUUUUGCUUUCAGUAUCUGAAUACAACAAAAUGGCACCAAAAACAAAAACUAAGAAGCAACACCCAAAUGAUGAGAGAAGAUGCAACAUGGCCAAAAAGCAAUUAGCCAAAACUAUAUCAUUGGAGACAAUAAACCACUUCAACUUGGCCAAAAAGCAACAUGAAGCAAUUGGAAGCAAUGAAAGAAUACACUAUUUGAAAACUCUAAAUUGGAGCGAGUCACCAAUUUAAACUAAUAAUAUCCACAUCAAGAGUAUAUGCAUAGCUCCUCCACAUGUUGACUUUUUUUUUUUUCUUAACUACAAAUCUAGCCACUUUUUUUCAUAAUUUAAUAAAAGCUUUGUUUUCUAUUUAUCAUUAUUUGUAUACACAUAGCAAGAAAAGCUUAUAACUCCAGUGGGUGCAAUCUUUGGGAUAAAGUAUUUACAUAUAAAAACAUUUUACACAUUAAUUUGAACCAAUCAUUAUAAAGUUAGAAAAAUCAUAUUACUAUAUAAAUUAAUAAAUGUUUGAAAAUCAUUAAUUAAUGAUUAUAACUACAAAGUAUUAAUAUUAUUUUAAUUUACUAACUGCGGUUACUACGAGUUAGUUUAUAAAGAAGCAAACCACUUAAAGAUACCUUUUUCACUAUUCAAAUACUAGAAAUCACUUGAUCCUCUUCUUAACAAACCAUUAUUAUAACCACAAAAAAGAAGAAAUAUGAACAACAAGGUCUAAGAUGAGAGAGAGUCAAUACUCAUAAUUUUCUCAGGCCAACCCCACUUCUUAAAAUUUGGACAAUUUUAUGCAUACAACUAGUCUAGGAAUGACAUUUAUUAUUAACAAAUUGAAAUGAAAUGAAAAUGAAAUUUAAAGAGUAAAAUGGAAUAAGAUGUGUGGUUUUCAAUUGGUACGAAGAGAGUAUUUGUAAUGAUAUAAAGGAGAAAAAAAAGGAAAAAAAAUGAAAAUGUAACUGUUAGAACGCGUUCCACAAACCUUUAACCUUCUUCUAACGGUAACCAAUGCGCUCAAAUCCAUCUCCUCGGCGGUACUGCCCGCCACCCGCCGGAGCCCACUUCCGAUACCCUCCACUCUAAUAAAUAUCAUUAUUAUCUUCCAAUUUUAAGUAUCAUGAUAAGUACUGUGUUGACUUUGGGUUGACAUAAGGAAUAACAAUUAUUUUCUCUAAAAUUCUCCUUGCGAAUCAUUAUUUUGUUGAAAUGUACCUUUUCUUUAUGAGCAUAAUUACUUUAUUGAAUUUAGCUUGCCUUGAUAAAUAUCUUUUAUUUUCGUGAAGUUUACAUUGUCUUAAUAAAUAUCAUUACCACUUUAAUAAUUAUCAUUUCUAAUUCCACAAUAAAUAUCAUUAAAUAGUUUUCUUUAAUAAUUAUUAGACAAAAUUACAAAAAUGGUCCCUGUGGUUUGCCAAAAGUCACGAAGUCAGUAUCUGUUAAUUUUUUUUUGAUGUAAAUGGUCCUUGUGGUUUGCAAAACUUGCAAAGAUGACCCUUUUUACUAACACCAUUAGUAUUCAGCCGUUAGGGACUAAAUCUGUAAGGGUAUUUUCGUCUUUUCAAGUAUAAAGGGACUGAAUUCGUGACAUUUAAUAAACCAUAGGGACCAUUUUUGUAAUUUGUCUUAAAAUAAUAUAAAUGAUAGAAAAUGAAGUGUACUAUAUUCGAACUUUGGACCUCCUACCUUUCUCCCUUAAUCAACCAAAGCUUUAACCAACUAGGCUAGAGCCGCACUUGAUUUAUAUUUUCGAAAACUAACUAAUAUUAUCUACAAAUCGUAAAUAAAUUAAUAAUAAAAUAUUAAAAAAAACAUAUUUUUACAAAAAAAAAAAAUUAAUAAAACAAAAUAUAUUUUUAGCGUAUUGUAAAAAAAAAAUACAAACAAUUAUUUGUUUUUUUACGUAUUUAAAAAAAUAAGUUUCCGUAUACUUUUAAAUACAUAAAAAAAUAACGUAAUAACAUAUUCUACAAAAACAUAAUCCUAAAAAACAUAAAAAAAAGUUUUUUGUAUAUAUUUAUUUUAUGUGAAGAUUCAGUUCCUAACGGCUGAAUACUAACGGUGAUAGUAAAAAGGGCCAUCUUUGUAAGUUUUGCAAACCACAAGGACCAUUUACAUCAAAAAAAUUAACAGGGAUUGAUUUUGUGACUUUUGGCAAACCAUAGGGACCAUUUUUGUAAUUAUGUCUAAUUAUUAUUAUUUAUAGAAAAGAAUUGAAAAAAAAAGCGACACCAUCAAGGCAUCGAAGGAAAACCCAACACCCUCGUUGACUCUCCUCUCUGGUCGUCUCCCUUCCUCGUUGACUUGCUGUUUCCCUGCCGACUUAACGCGGUUCGCUCUGUACUUUUCACUCUUCAUCGAUCUUUCUCAGCCGCGUCACUGUUGGUUCAUCCUUUAUCGCUGCUGUUUCAGUUCUCCUUGUCAUCCUGUAUGCUUCUUAAUUACAAGUUGUUAGACAAUUUCAUCUUAUGAAUCAUAAAUCACAUCAUAAUCAUUUCGUUAUUUCACUAACAGGUGAUUGAAUAUUGUCUAUUUCCAUUAUUUUUGUUUUAUUUUAUAUAUCAAUUAGGAUACUCCACACUCCUUCUAGCCCAAAGUCCAGUACGAUGAACAAAAUUUCCUGCACGUUGAGAAUUCUUUGAUCCUUUAAAAUUUCUUCCUCAAUUCCUCUAUAUUUUCUAAUUCGCAACACGAUUUUUAGAUUUGAUUCUUUUUGAAUGAUGUUUAUGAACAAGCUUCAAUAUUUGAUUGUCAUAAUGAGUGUUUUGCUUGUGUAUAGACUAAAGAGUGCAUUUAGCUUUGAAAUUUCUUCUAUUAUUGAGUUUGAAAUUGAACCCUUAGAAAGGGCAAAGUGGAAGGCGUGUUUUGCUGGCUUCAGAAACAUAUCAUUUGGAACAAGCCCAUAAAUAUUGUUAGUUGAAACACUUAAAAUAAGAUGUAUGCUGAUACUAGAUCCAGUUAUAUAUGAAUUUUAAAUUUGUGUAGAUUGUUGUGCUAAUUUUGGAGAUCCAUAAUUAAACAACCUUGUCAAGCAAGUGCUGUUUUUUUUUGUUUAAAACUUUACAUCUUUCAAUUGUUUGUUGAUAUCUAGUAAAAGCUUGAAAUUUCCUAUAUGCUUUGCAAUUUCCUUCAUGGGAGGUAAUAGUGGAUCUUGUAGUUAUUUCAAGAAUGGUAUUUUGGUGUAGAUUUGUUUGACGAUUACUCUACUGAAAUUCAUAUGGAUUUUACUUAGAUAAAUAAGGAUCUUUAUGUGGGCUAAUCAAAUUAAAACAGAGGCGUUGUAGUUUCAAUGCAUAAAUUGGUUUGUUAUUUUCUUGAAUCUAAACUUAGCCAGAAAAACAGGUUAAUUAAUUGGUAACAGCUUUUAAAAUAAAUUUCAUGGCAAUGUAAUGGUUAUUCUAUAUCCAUACUUUGUUUUUGUGGGAAAGAAUAUUCUAUAUAAAUACUUAGUUAGCUAUAUAUGUUUUGGCUAAAGGAUCCAAAAACCUGUCACAUAAUUAUUAUUGCCAUGAGAUUGCUGUUGUAGUGAUUUAACAGCGUCUCUUUGUAUUUCAAACACAGCAGCAACCGAUUAAUGCUUAUUCUUUUGUGUUCCUUUUCCAGUGUUUAUUUGAUGAGAUUGAAGUUGCAUAUUUUAAAUAUUAAUAAUUUGGAUUUUAUGUACAGGCUUUAUUUGAACCACAAGUUAAGAGCUUCUAGCUUAUUGAGAUACACAAAGGCUUAUCAACCCAUAACUCAUAAUGGUUAUUCUCUCUGAACUCCUCUCAGAAGGAUCUUCAUCUUCUUCAUCAAAUAGUGGUCAUAGUCCAACUGAUGGUCAAAGUUCAUCAACUGAUGGUUACAUGUACGAUGUAUUUUUAAGUUUUAGAGGUGUUGACACUCGUCAUAGUUUCACUGAUCACCUUCAUAAAGCCCUCAUUGAUGCCAAUAUCACUACGUUCUUGGAUGAUGAAGAGAUUGAAACAGGGGAAGAUCUGAAACCAGAACUAGAGACUGCAAUUAAGGCAUCUCGGGGUUCUAUCAUUGUGAUGUCUAAGAAUUACGCUUCUUCAACAUGGUGUCUGGAUGAAUUGGUGUUGAUCCUUGAGCAGCAUAUGACAUCUGAUCAUAUUAUUAUCCCCAUAUUUUAUCAUGUUGAGCCCACUCAUAUCGGGAAGCAACAAAGUAGCUUUGGAGAUGCAAUGGCUAAGCAUAAACAGACAAUGGAGGCAGAGACAAAUGCAAAUAAAAGAAGUGAAUGGGCUCAAAAGAUGGACCGAUGGAAUAAAGCCCUUAUAGAAGUAGCUAAUUUAAAAGGAAAAGACGUCAAUGGAAGGUAACUGUUUUCUUACCUAUAUUUCCAAAAUUCUUCAAUUUUGUUUGAUUAACACAUGAAUGUUAGUAUCAUCUUCUCCCAAUGCAUUUCAAUAAGUUUCUUUAACAUCACUAAAAAGACAUAUNUAUAUAUAUAUAUAUAUAUAAUGUAUUAGGAUAUAAAUUCCACACAUUUUUUUAUGCAUUUUGUGUUUCAUUAUAAGUUACUUCAUUUAGACAAACUGUUCCAAUUAUUUUGUAUGCUUUCUAUUAAGAAAACAAGAUUUGAAGGGUUUGCUAUGCAUCUACUAUUACUUAUACCAUACCACCUUAUAAUCAUAGUGUCUUUUAUGAUAAAUAACUUAUCUUACCUUUAAGCAGUAAAACAUUACUUAUAACUGGCACUUUUUUCAAAACACGCCACAAUGAUAGUUAUGAUGGUCUUGUGUAAAUGCAGUGAAGUUAGGUUGUCCAUUAGUGAAAUCUGGUAUUACAUUGGAACUUGUAUGGUUAGAACAUAGAAGUGUAAACACAAUAUCAUUUUAAUGUGAAGGACUUGAUUAAAAUUAAUAGCUAUGAUAUAAUUUUGAUUUUGGUUCUUUGGACAAAUUAAAUCUCCAAAUCCAGUUUGUUAGUUCUGUGGUUCAUAUAAAAUCUGAUUUCAGGCUAGAGACGGAAUUUAUUGAAGAAAUUGUGAAGGACAUCCAACGUAGGUUACAUGUACGCUUAAGGAGUGUCCGGCAACAACUUAUUGGGAUGGACUAUGAUAUUAAGUUCAUCACUUCAUGGUUGAAAGAUGGAUCCUCACAUACGGCAGACAUACUCACUAUUUAUGGUAUAGGAGGGAUUGGGAAGACAACUUUAGCCAAACAUGUCUAUGGGCUAUAUGCUCACAAAUUCCACAAAAGCAGCUGUAUUGAAGAUGUUAGUAGGGUAUGUGAUGGAAAGUUUAAUGGGUUGCUUGAUUUACAAGAAAAACUAAGCAGUGACAUUUCAAAAACAAGUUCCGUUAAAGUUCAUGAUGCUUCGGUAUACACCUCAAAGAUAGAGAAUGCAGUAGCACGUAAAAGGGUGUUUCUUGUUCUUGAUGAUAUUAGCACGCUUGAUCAGUUGGAUGCGUUACUUGGAAGCAAAGGUUUUCAUCCCGGAAGCAAAAUAAUUAUAACCACAAAGGAAAGACAUUUGAUAGAGAGGUGUGCACUAUUCAAAACAGACAUUAAACCAAAGCAUACAAAGCUCUUGCUUCAAGGCUUACAUGAGACCGAAUCAUGGAAACUUUUGUGUCUCCAUGCAUUCAAAUGCAACUAUCCCAAGACAGGUUAUGAAGGGGUGUUAUAUAAGCUUGUGAAGUAUUGUCAAGGACAUCCAUUGGCUCUUGUAGUAUUGGGAAAAUCUCUAUAUGAUCGAGAUGUAACUUAUUGGGAAGGGUGCAUAGAAGGGCUAAAGAAAGAAACAGAUUCUCAUGUGAAUAAUGUCUUGAGAAUGAGCUUUAACUCUUUGCCAUCCAAAAAUGAUAAGGACUUGUUUAAGUAUAUUGCUUGUUUUUUUGUUGGAAUAGAUAGAGAUGUUGCUGAAACAAUAUUAAAGGCAUGCAAUAUAAACAUAAGAUCUGGAAUCCCGAAUCUCCUCGACCGAUUCCUUCUUUCGAUUGGAUGGAAAAACAAAUUGAAGAUGCAUCAGUUGGUUCAAGAGAUGGGAAGGUUCGAAGUACGUCAAGAAUCACAUGACAAGCCAUGGAAGAGAAGUCUAUUAUGGUGUCAUGAGGAGUCAUUCAGAGUAUUAAAACAAAAAAAGGUAAGAGGUCAUAUGUGGUUUUAAAAGUAUGCAUGUUAAAAAUAUUGUGUAUGGUCUCAACUUUUUAUUUACAUUAUGUUUCUUCUUAGGGUAAGGGAAAUCUUGUUGGCCUUGCCCUUGACAUGCGCAUGCUUGAGAAAGAGAUGUUGGGUGCAUCAUAUAAGUUAAAAACAAAUGCAUUAAGUAAGAUGGAUAAUUUGAUGCUACUACAACUCAAUUAUGUUCACAUGAAUGGGUCUUAUGAGAACUUUCCACCGGAACUAAGAGGUUUGUGUAUGCAUGGGUUUCAUUUAAAGUAUAUACCUUCAGAACUACCUAUGGAGAAUCUUGUUGCUCUUGACAUGUCAUAUAGCAAUAUUGAAUCAUUUAUCGGUUGUUAUAGUAAUCCACAACGACUUGAGAAGAGGCAAAAGGUAACUUAUCUUCAUUUAUUAUUUUUCCAUGUUUAGUUGAAUUUCACUCCCAUUCUAACUUCUUUCCAUUUUUAUAGUUGGAUGGAUUAUGCUUAAAAAACAAAAGGUUGCUUGGAUCAUUGAAGGUUCUUAAUUUAAGUUCCUGUAAACAACUUUGUAGUCUUGGUGACUUUAACCAAUUCCCAGCUCUCGAGAGGUUAAUAGUUAGAAAUUGCACUCGUUUGCUUGAGGUUAGUGAAUCAAUUGAGCAGUGUGUUGAACUUGCCCUCAUCGAUCUAAGCUACUGCAAGCAGCUUAAAAACCUUCCAAGAAUCAUAGGCAUGCUAAAGAAAGUUAAAACAAUGUUGCUAGAUGGUUGUAAUCUGGGUGAAUCUCAAACUGAGGAUACAAAUUUAGAUAUGGAUUCACUGGACAUGUGCAAUGCUAACAAAAACAUUAGCAUAAGCACAAGAACCUCUUUCUCCACCUUUGUGGGUGCUAUACCAAGCCGUUUGAAGUUUUUUUCAAGUUCUUUGCCAAGAUCUCUAGUAAGGUUGUCCCUUGUAAAUAAUAAUUUGUCCACUGAAUCCUUUCCUAUGGAUUUUAGUAGUCUGUCCUUGUUAAAGGAAUUAUAUUUAGAUGGAAAUCCUAUCCAUUCCAUGCCCAAUUGUGUGAGAACCCUUCAUAGGGUUGAGAUACUUAGUAUGCUAAACUGUAAUAAAUUGAAGUUGGUCGAACAUCCUCCACACACACUAAAAAUCUUGCUCUAUUCUGAUCGCGAGUCUUUAGAAAAAGUUGUAUUUGAUCCCAAAAUGUCUCCCCUCAUGUUAUUUUAUUUUCCAAGAAGUUACACCCCUAGGUCGUAUGAAAUUGAAGGCAUGGUGAAAAUCCAGACAAUGGUGGGUGUUGAGGAAAAGGUAUUACGUAGCUUGGGCUGGAUUAAUUUACUCCAUAACAAAAGGAAUGUGGGAAAUAAUCCUACGGAAUCUGGAAUGCAGGUUUUGUCAAGUUAACUGUCUUUCUUUAUUUGACUACAUAAAAUACUAUAAUAUAAUCAUUUAAUUUAGAUGUUUGUAUUUGGCAGAUGUUAUAUGAAUUUGGAAUAUUCAGCACAACAUAUGACGCAGAGGAGAUGCCGAGUUGGUUUAUUCAUAGAAGCGCAGGGCCAUCGAUUUCAUUUACAAUCCCAUCAUCAUCUCCAAAUAAUCUCCUUAAAGGAAUCAACUUCUGCUUUCUGCAGACAAUGAGAGUUUUGUAUGAGUUGCCUGUAAGUCUACAUGAUCAUUUCCGCAUUACACCGAUGAUCACAGUUAGUAAUAUAACAAAGAACCGCAUGUGGAUAUACGAACCUCUCUGGGACAGAUACUUUGUAGAUAAAAAGUGUAGGGUGGUGUUAAGUCAUUGGAUGUUAGGGAUGAAUGAGAUGGAGCCUGGUGACCACAUUACUGUUACUGUUACAGAGCCAUCUUAUGAACUUACAAAGGAGUGUGGUGUGAGUCUUGUGUAUGAGGAUGAUGGAGAGAAGAAGGAUGAAGAAGAUGUGUUGGGUUAUUACAAGUCAUGGAAUCACAUAAUUGGUGGAGAUCUCUCUCCUUUUCAGACAACUACAGGACAAUUCAUCCUAAGAAACCAGCAGUUUGUUACAUGUGGCUUAUGUAUAAUGACCCAUUUAUUUUAACAGAUAACUUAAAUCUUUUAAACAACUGGAUCAUAUAUACUAUUGAUUUUAUUGACCCAUAAGAUAAGAUGUUGUUUUAUAAAAAUAUUAAAGAUAANUAUAUAUAUAUAUAUAUAUUAUUGAUUUUAUUGACCCAUAAGAUAAGAUUUUGUUUUUAUAGUAAAAAAUAAAAGUUGUACUUUUAAUUUAUAAAAUGAAUAGAUGCAAGCAUUGAUUCAGAAACGGGGACAGUUUUGGUCCCAGGGGUAUUUUGGGAAAACUUUCCUAAUUUAAAGUUUUGAGUUAGUUUAGGAUUCCAAUUAGUUUAGUAUAAAUAGGGUAUGGUUGUGUGACAUUUUUAAUUAAGUUUUUUUUCAGUAAUAAAAUAUGGAGAACAAGUAAUUUUCCCAGAUUUCUUCCUCCCCUGUUUCGCUCAUGCUCUGUUUCUUUUCUGCACACAGUUGAAGUUUCCAUUCUGUCAUAAUCAAGUGAAUUGAUUCUUGUGUUAAGUUCAUUUUCAAGAGAAUUAAGCGAAUUAAUUCCUUCAUCACUUUCCAUAAAUAGAUGGAUAAUGACCCAUUUAUUUUAAUACAUAUGUCAUAACUUAAAUCUUUUAAACAGGAUCAUAUAUACGAUUGAUUUUAUUGACCCAUAAGAUAAGAUUUUUGGUUUGGUAUGGUGUGGUGGCAUCCAUUAUACCCUACCCUGAGGAGUAUUUAAACUUUUCAUUUUCUAGAUGAUUGUCAGCUAAGAAAAUUCUAGUAGCAAAAAGUAUUUGAGAGGCCCUUCCUCUUGAAAGAAUGGGAAAACCCUAUUAUUUAUAUAAUUCAUUAUCAGUUAGUUGUUUCUGGUUGUGAAUUUCCUGCUUAUUCUCUUUACUCCGUGUGGGGCUUAUCAGCACACUCAAUUGAUUAAGUCUUUCGAUAUGUUGGAUCACAUAAAUAUAUAUGGACCCAAUACGUAUGACUACUUUGUCCAAGUAGGUUGUUUGUGAACAAUGAUUAACAUAUCACUUUUAAUCUAUUUUCAGUAUGAAAGGAAAAGUUUUGGUUCAGAGCUUUAUCCCUAAGGAAGCUUGACAUAAGUCGUCGCGCACAUGAGGUAUACUUUUUGACACCCAAACCUUUUCUCUCAUCGCGUAAACAAAAGGAAUACACAACCGAAUAUUAGGAAUCAAAGCUCUCAAUUCGUUUAGGGUGUAACAAAAUAAGGGAGUUAUAACCUUUCAUUGAAUGCAUUGAAGUGGAAAUAUUAAAAUUUGGAAUCAUUGAAUACUACAAAUAUCUGUUCAUACCAUGUCUAAACACUAAGGGUCAAAAUCUAGGAUUGAAUUCUCACCACUCUCUGUCACAGUGUAAUAUGCAAUUGAGACCAAUUCAUAGAUUAAUAAUUUUCAGUAGAUGUUGUUCUUGGGUAAAUUCUAUGUUAAUAACAAACUAUUACACUUUGGAAGACAAUAUGAAAUUGUGUAAGCAUAUUGCUUGAUUUUAAGGAAUCUUAUUGAUAGAUUCAUUCUUAGGAUAGAACCAAGCAACAUGUUGAGAAUGCUUAAAUUGCUUCAAGAAUUUGGAAGAGAUGUGUCACCAGGACUCAUUAAUUCUGUUGAAUCAAGAAAAUGUAACAUAAUAUAUACGCUUCCAAGUAACUAUCUGUUUUCAUAACAUUUUGUGUUGUAUCCUGUAUAAUAUAUAACUUUUAAAAUUUUCUUACUUUUCGUUUCUAUGUAGGGUGAGGGGGGAUCUUCAAGGUCUCAUCCUUCACAUGAAAAGGAUUGAGAAAGUGAGGCUACAUGACUGGCAUGAGUUGAAAAUAGAUGCAAUGGGAAAAUGGGUAGCCUGAUGCUAUUGCAAACUCAAUCGUCUAUGACCUACUUUUCCAGAAGUAUUAAGAUAAUAUAUACCAGCCUCUACUACAAAAUUGAACACAUUUGGAAUUGUAUGUUAUUUCCCCAUGAUUCUUUUAAGCAUAGGUAUCAAAAUUAAACACUUCUUGAAUUGUGUGCUAUUUCUUGAUCAUAAUUUGAGCUGAAAUCUUGACCAUUGCCUUAUCAACAAUGUCUAUCGUGUCUAUGGACUCAAAAGCUCAAAUCCUUGAUAGGAUUCUAUAAUUUAUUUGGAUACUAUGUAAAAUUCGCUUGCUUCACCUUAAUAUUUUAAGACUCCGAUUCUGAAAGAUGAGAAUUC